AUUGAACGCUGGCGGCAGGCCUAACACAUGCAAGUCGAGCGGAUGAAGGGAGCUUGCUCCUGGAUUCAGCGGCGGACGGGUGAGUAAUGCCUAGGAAUCUGCCUGGUAGUGGGGGAUAACGUCCGGAAACGGGCGCUAAUACCGCAUACGUCCUGAGGGAGAAAGUGGGGGAUCUUCGGACCUCACGCUAUCAGAUGAGCCUAGGUCGGAUUAGCUAGUUGGUGGGGUAAAGGCCUACCAAGGCGACAAUCCGUAACUGGUCUGAGAGGAUGAUCAGUCACACUGGGACUGAGACACGGUCCAGACUCCUACGGGAGGCAGCAGUGGGGAAUAUUGGACAAUGGGCGAAAGCCUGAUCCAGCCAUGCCGCGUGUGUGAAGAAGGUCUUCGGAUUGUAAAGCACUUUAAGUUGGGAGGAAGGGCAGUAAGUUAAUACCUUGCUGUUUUGACGUUACCAACAGAAUAAGCACCGGCUAACUUCGUG
RNAcentral lists this ribosomal RNA (484 nucleotides) under uncultured bacterium. RNAcentral's name for it is "partial 16S ribosomal RNA". It matches the Rfam family "Bacterial small subunit ribosomal RNA", at positions 30 to 507 of the family's 1533-position model. The record is from RNAcentral.